AAUAAAAUGCUUGAGUAGUAGUAGUUAUGUUCUUGAAAUUUAAAGGAUUUGGCGGUAUUUUAGUCCAUUCAGAGGAACCUGUCCUGUAAUUGAUAGUCCACGAUUAAUUGUACUUAAUUUAUUAGUUUGUAUAUCGUCGUAGGUUGAAUGUUUUAUAAGAAUUUUUAAUGUUCAAGAUGUAGGGCUGUAAGGUAAAUCAGAUCAAGGUGCAGCUUAUAAUUAAGAAGAGAUGGGUUACAAUAAAUUUAUUUAGAUGGUUAGGAUAUUUAAAUUAUCUUAUAAAGUGGAUUUGAGGGUAAUACAAUUAAUAUAAAUUGUAUGAUUUUGGCUCUAAAAUAUGUACAUAUCGCCCGUCGCUCCCUCCCUAAGGAGGGAUAAGUC
RNAcentral lists this ribosomal RNA (381 nucleotides) under Cyclocephala gravis. RNAcentral's name for it is "partial 12S ribosomal RNA". The record is from RNAcentral. Lineage: Eukaryota; Metazoa; Arthropoda; Insecta; Coleoptera; Scarabaeidae.